UAACUCCGCCGGCGACCGGCGCACGAGUGCGUAACGCGUAUGCAACCUACCUUUAACAGGGGCAUAACACUGAGAAAUUGGUACUAAUUCCCCAUAACAUUCGAGAGGGCAUCUUCUUGGGUUAAAAACUCCGGUGGUUAAAGAUGGGCAUGCGUUGUAUUAGCUAGUUGGUGAGGUAACGGCUCACCAAGGCAACGAUACAUAGGGGGACUGAGAGGUUAACCCCCCACAUUGGUACUGAGACACGGACCAA
RNAcentral lists this ribosomal RNA (253 nucleotides) under uncultured bacterium. RNAcentral's name for it is "partial 16S ribosomal RNA". It matches the Rfam family "Bacterial small subunit ribosomal RNA", at positions 80 to 334 of the family's 1533-position model. The record is from RNAcentral.